RNAcentral lists this ribosomal RNA (253 nucleotides) under uncultured bacterium. RNAcentral describes it as "partial 16S ribosomal RNA". It matches the Rfam family "Bacterial small subunit ribosomal RNA", at positions 524 to 776 of the family's 1533-position model. The record is from RNAcentral.
GACGUAGGGCGCGAGCGUUGUCCGGAUUUAUUGGGCGUAAAGAGCUCGUAGGCGGCUCGUUGCGUCGGCUGUGAAAACCCGCAGCUCAACUGUGGGCUUGCAGCUGAUACGGGCGGGCUGGAGUUCGGUAGGGGAGACUGGAAUUCCUGGUGUAGCGGUGAAAUGCGCAGAUAUCAGGAGGAACACCGGUGGCGAAGGCGGGUCUCUGGGCCGAUACUGACGCUGAGGAGCGAAAGCGUGGGGAGCGAACGGG